Molecule: long non-coding RNA, 1500 nt
Organism: Pipra filicauda (Wire-tailed manakin)
Lineage: Eukaryota; Metazoa; Chordata; Aves; Passeriformes; Pipridae
Exons: 2
Source: RefSeq, a predicted model, not a curated record
AAGAAGGUGGAUGUUGUCAGCCUGGGCUGGCUUUCCUUGAACUCUGAUCUGCAGCGUGUUCUGAGAUAUCAUCCACAAAGUGUCAUGUCAGGGCUAAGCACUUGGGGGCUUGAAAUAAAUAUUUAUAAAGUUGAGCAAGGAACUUUGCUUGUCCUGAGGCAAUAAAGUUACACUCAGAAAAUUCCUACAGAAGUCAGUGAAUUGGCAUGUGUGUAACGAGCAGAGGGUGCCAAAACCAAGAGUCUCUACAAGGUUAUUCUUACUCCUCCCAGAAAAGAAGGAACUGGGGAGACAGGAGACAAAUGGAGCUACACAAACAUUGAUAGAAUUCAGCUGUUCAAGCUCAAAACAGAACUAAAAUUUUCCCCUGUAUGUUCAAAAAGAAGGACUAAGGAUGUGUUGUUGCUGUAGCCAAGGGAGGUGAGCUCUGCCUUAUGUCCCUGGGCUUUGUGCUCCCCAGCCGUGGAACUGCUGAUCUCAGUUCCUGGCACUGAUCAGAGGGCUGGAAACCUGAACCAAAUCCCCAACUCAUAUCAAUAUUCUGCUAUUCAGGAAUGUUUCUGCUCAAACGUGAACAUUUGGUGUUAAUGCCAUUUGUUUAACCUCAGCUGUAUUCAGGGGAGACCUUUGGUUUAUGAUUAAAUUUAAAGUGCUUUUGUUUGGUCAGAUAUUUAAUCAAGCCUGAAAGAGUUUUAAUUGUAAUAUUUAUCUACUGUUAUUUGUCCCAGAAAAAAAGCCUCAGUCCAGGAGCACGUCCUUCCCAGGACAGCACUUCCAGCUCACUGUUUUCUGACAUUCAGGAGGCAGGAGGGUGACUGAGCUUUAAGGCACCAGAAGACAAUGUGAAGGGUCAGCAUCCAACUGGCCUGACUGAGUUAGUGCUGUCCGGAUACAGCUCAGGUUGUCUUUACAUCCUGACUUACAACUCCUUCCUGGACUUAUUUCCCCUGUGAGACGUGGAUGGGAUGAUUUAUUUCUUUAAUUAACUCUCUGAAGUGCAGCUUUACUGGGGCUGUGCACGAAUCAGCCUCUCUGGAAGUUCUAAAGGCGCUGGGCUGUGAAAUGGUGACUGUUACCUGUUGUUUGAUUGCUGGGGGGUUGGAGUGAGGAGAGGAGCCAGAGGCAGCUGUGCUUAACCAAGGAUCUCAGGGAAAUGUGGGAGCUGUGAGCUGCCUUCCAGGACAAAUGGAUGUUAUUCUUUGCUAGGCUUUUUCCCAGCGGAUGCUUGGACAGAGACAGAGCAGGGAGGAGAAUCAAUGCACUGUCAGAGGAGAAAGCUGAGCCUCACACCUGAGCUGCCUGCAGCAUAGGAAUGAGGGUGAUCUCUUAAGAAUGAAUCCCUGGACUUCUAGAAAGUUUCAGACAAGCUUUGGCCAGGGAUUUAAUGGAGAAACUCCCUGCCCGAGGACAUGGUGUGGAGCAGACUGUGCACAGGCUGGAGAAGCAGUGAGACAAAUUAAGAGGGAAGUCUAUUAAGGGCUAUUAAACAUAAUUACUACA